This 811-nucleotide ribosomal RNA is filed under the name uncultured Rhodocyclaceae bacterium. RNAcentral describes it as "bacterial SSU rRNA". It matches the Rfam family "Bacterial small subunit ribosomal RNA", at positions 28 to 829 of the family's 1533-position model. The record is from RNAcentral. Lineage: Bacteria; Pseudomonadati; Pseudomonadota; Betaproteobacteria; Rhodocyclales; Rhodocyclaceae.
AUUGAACGCUGGCGGCAUGCUUUACACAUGCAAGUCGAACGGCAGCACGGGGGCAACCCUGGUGGCGAGUGGCGAACGGGUGAGUAAUGCAUCGGAACGUGUCCUGUAAUGGGGGAUAACCUGGCGAAAGCCAGGCUAAUACCGCAUACGAUCCUGAGGGAGAAAGCGGGGGAUCGCAAGACCUCGUGUUAUAGGAGCGGCCGAUGUCGGAUUAGCUAGUUGGUGGGGUAAAGGCCUACCAAGGCGACGAUCCGUAGCGGGUCUGAGAGGACGGCCCGCCACACUGGGACUGAGACACGGCCCAGACUCCUACGGGAGGCAGCAGUGGGGAAUUUUGGACAAUGGGGGCAACCCUGAUCCAGCCAUGCCGCGUGAGUGAAGAAGGCCUUCGGGUUGUAAAGCUCUUUCGGCCGGGAAGAAAGUCGCGCCAUGCUAAUAGCCUGGUGCUGGAUGACGGUACCGGAAGAAGAAGCACCGGCUAACUACGUGCCAGCAGCCGCGGUAAUACGUAGGGUGCGAGCGUUAAUCGGAAUUACUGGGCGUAAAGCGUGCGCAGGCGGCUCUAUAAGACAGAUGUGAAAUCCCCGGGCUUAACCUGGGAACUGCGUUUGUGACUGUAGGGCUUGAGUGCGGCAGAGGGGGGUGGAAUUCCACGUGUAGCAGUGAAAUGCGUAGAGAUGUGGAGGAACACCGAUGGCGAAGGCAGCCCCCUGGGUCGACACUGACGCUCAUGCUCGAAAGCGUGGGGAGCAAACAGGAUUAGAUAUCCUGGUAGUCCACGCCCUAAACGAUGCGAACUAGGUGUUGGGGA